GAGGUUGGGGCUCAGCGGUAGAGUGCUUGCCUAGCAUGUGCAAGGCCCUGGGUUCAAUUCUCAGCACCACA
RNAcentral lists this transfer RNA (71 nucleotides) under Marmota monax (woodchuck). RNAcentral describes it as "tRNA.Ala". Lineage: Eukaryota; Metazoa; Chordata; Mammalia; Rodentia; Sciuridae. The record is from RNAcentral.